AUGGGGCCAUAUCAUAACCAGAAGCUCAUCCAAGGGCAAGUUCAUAAUCUCUCCGCGGAAGAAGCGCUGGAAAACCCCGAAGUCAUCAUUGGUAUGUUUCUCGUUAAUAACAUACCUGCAAUAAUUUUAUUUGACUCGGGGUCUUUCCACUCUUUUAUUUCUCAGAGUUUCGUUAAAAAGGGCAACCUGGUGCAUGUAGCUCCCACUUGCGCAGGGUCCAGGGAAGGGUCCGACCACUUUGGGUCUAUAGUAUGCAGCCUUUCCCUCUCAGAGUUUCGUUGCCCAAAACAAAUUUUCUAG
Molecule: ribosomal RNA, 300 nt
Filed under: Triticum aestivum (bread wheat)
Lineage: Eukaryota; Viridiplantae; Streptophyta; Magnoliopsida; Poales; Poaceae
Description: partial small subunit ribosomal RNA
Source: RNAcentral